RNAcentral lists this transfer RNA (73 nucleotides) under Camelus bactrianus (Bactrian camel). It matches the Rfam family "tRNA". From Rfam's summary of the family: Transfer RNA (tRNA) molecules are approximately 80 nucleotides in length. Their secondary structure includes four short double-helical elements and three loops (D, anti-codon, and T loops). The record is from Rfam by way of RNAcentral. Lineage: Eukaryota; Metazoa; Chordata; Mammalia; Artiodactyla; Camelidae. RNAcentral also lists the same sequence under 2 other names.
GAAGGCAUAGCUCAAAUGGUAGACUGCACGCUUAGCAUGCAUGAGGUCUUGGGUUCAAUCCCCAGUACCUCCU